UACGGAGGGGGCUAGCGUUGCUCGGAAUUACUGGGCGUAAAGGGCGCGUAGGCGGACCGUUUAGUCAGAGGUGAAAGCCCAGGGCUCAACCUUGGAAUUGCCUUUGAUACUGGCUGUCUUGAGUCCGGGAGAGGUGAGUGGAACUGCGAGUGUAGAGGUGAAAUUCGUAGAUAUUCGCAAGAACACCAGUGGCGAAGGCGGCUCACUGGCCCGGUACUGACGCUGAGGUGCGAAAGCGUGGGGAGCAAACAGG
RNAcentral lists this ribosomal RNA (253 nucleotides) under uncultured bacterium. RNAcentral describes it as "partial 16S ribosomal RNA". It matches the Rfam family "Bacterial small subunit ribosomal RNA", at positions 524 to 776 of the family's 1533-position model. The record is from RNAcentral.